This 460-nucleotide ribosomal RNA is filed under the name uncultured bacterium. RNAcentral describes it as "partial 16S ribosomal RNA". It matches the Rfam family "Bacterial small subunit ribosomal RNA", at positions 338 to 795 of the family's 1533-position model. The record is from RNAcentral.
CCUACGGGGGGCAGCAGUGAGGAAUAUUGGUCAAUGGCCGGAAGGCUGAACCAGCCAUGCCGCGUGAAGGUCAGUGCCCUAUGGGCGUUAAACUUCUUUUGUGCGGGAGCAAUAAUGGUCACGUGUGGCCAGACGAGAGUACCGUACGAAUAAGCAUCGGCUAACUCCGUGCCAGCAGCCGCGGUAAUACGGGGGAUGCAAGCGUUAUCCGGAUUUAUUGGGUUUAAAGGGUGAGUAGGCUGUGAGGUAAGUCAGCGGUGAAAUGCCCCGGGUCAACGGGGUGAAGUGCCAUUGAUACUGCCGUGCUGGAAUGCGGAUGCGGUGGGAGGAAUGUGUGGUGUAGCGGUGAAAUGCAUAGAUAUCACACAGAACACCGAUUGCGAAGGCAUCUCACGAAUCCGAGAUUGACGCUGAGGCACGAAAGCGUGGGUAUCAAACAGGAUUAGAUACCCUUGUAGUC